Molecule: RNA transcript, 1902 nt
Organism: Rhodamnia argentea
Lineage: Eukaryota; Viridiplantae; Streptophyta; Magnoliopsida; Myrtales; Myrtaceae
Gene name: F-box protein At5g46170-like
Exons: 3
Source: RefSeq, a predicted model, not a curated record
UCACUCUCACUCUCCUCUUCUUCAUCACCUUUAAGCUCUCUCUCUCUCUCUCUCUCUCUCUCUCUCUGUAGGUUUCAUUGGUUGUGUCGUAGAUCUACUGCAAGGAGGAGCCCUACCCAUGUCGCAGUUCCUUCGGAUGAGCGUCGUAUGACUUCACAACCUUCGAAAGCUCUAUCGAAUCGUGUCGAAAAAUGUCGUCUUCGAGGUCAGAUCCGAGUUCCUCCCGAGUACACCCCGCGCCCGUCCUGGUCGACCACUUCGACCGACUCCCCGACUCCCUGCUCCUCCUCAUCUUCAACAAGAUCGCCGACAUCAAGGCCCUCGGCCGCUGCGGCGUCGUCUCUCGCCGCUUCCAUCAUUUGGUCCCCCAAGUCGACGCCGUCCUCGUCCGCGUCGAUUGCGUCAUCUCCGACGACGAGUCCUCCUCCCCUGUUCUCUCCGACAAGGCGCGCAACCCGCUCGCGAGCUUCUUCCACGUGGUUCUGGGCAACUUAGUGAAGCCUCUUCAGGCUCUUGGCUUGUUUUCCGGAGCGAAGAGGGCCCAGCUGGGUCCUUCCUCUUCGUCUUCGCUCGCCGUCGGAGAAAUGGACCAAGGUGGCGUGACUCACCACUCUCCUACUCAGGUUUUGAAGAAUUUCAGUGAGAUUCGGUUCCUUCGCAUUGAAUUGCCGAGUGGGGAGUUGGGGAUUGAUGGUGGGAUUUUGUUGAAGUGGAGGGCGGAUUUUGGGUCUACGCUUGACAAUUGUGUGAUUUUGGGCGCUUCUUCGGUUGUCCGGCCUGGGCCAUUCAAGAAUCUCGUGGGUUUUGAGAAUGGAACAGAUGCGGGUUGCGCCAACGACGAUAAUGGAAGUAUUCCCGAGUCCUUCUACACGAAUGGAGGUCUCAAAUUGAGGGUUGUUUGGACUAUAAGCUCUUUGAUUGCUGCAUCUGCAAGGCACUACUUAUUGCAGCCCAUAAUUGCGGAGCACGAGACUCUUGAUAGCUUGGUUCUGACGGAUGCUGAUGGACAAGGAGUGUUGUGCAUGAACAGAGAGCAGCUCGAGGAGCUGAGGGUGAAACCCUUGUCAGCUUCUUCAGCUUCGAAGAGGACAUUGGUUCCUGCGCUCAAUAUGAGGCUCUGGUAUGCGCCUCACCUGGAAUUGCCCGAUGGGGUUGUCCUUAAAGGGGCAACUUUGGUUGCCAUAAGGCCUAGUGAGCAGUCUGGGUUGAAGGACAUGGCUGAUGGGUCUUGGAUUUCGACUGCAUUUGAGGAGCCUUAUGGAACUGCGGCUAGAAUGCUGGUCAAAAGGAGGACCUACUGCUUGGAGAUGAACUCAUUUUGAUAGCACCCUGGAAGUUCAGAUGCAAGGAAUGUUGCUUCAUAUUUUGUGGCUUGGUAUUCUUUUCGGGUGUGGACCGAGUCUUGGUUCCUCCCAAAGAGCCAUCACUAGCAGACUGAUCCUCUUUAUGUCUUGAUUUUAGAUUUGAUGGGUAAGCUGAUUGCUGAAAGGGAAGACAAGUUUGCACCCUCCCGCUGGGUGAAGGAUGAGACCACGAUUUUGUCGGUGCUAGGAGCAGCCAAAUGCAGCUUCAAGUGAGCCAAAGGGCGCUGUCUAGGAGAAGUACUUUUUUUGGGGGGCUCGGCAAGUCUCUUAUUUCUGUACUAAGCUCUGAUAUUUGAGAUGCAUCUGCUGGUCGAUUUCCUAAGCUUGCAACGAGCACAACAACUAUAAAAAUGAUGUUAGGUUCCUGAGUUUGUAGUCUUCUCAACUUGUAAUCUCAUACUAUGUGAAUAUUGUAGUGAAGAACAUAUAGUCUAGAAGUCCACGAACCAGUGUACUCUCUGUUGGUCUUUGAAAUCCUGAUGCUUGUGCCAGCACAGUCGGCUGAGUUGAAUUAUAAUAAAGGAUUUUGAAGGUGGAA